UAGGGAAUCUUCGGCAAUGGACGAAAGUCUGACCGAGCAACGCCGCGUGAGUGAAGAAGGUUUUCGGAUCGUAAAACUCUGUUGGUAGAGAAGAACGUUGGUGAGAGUGGAAAGCUCAUCAAGUGACGGUAACUACCCAGAAAGGGACGGCUAACUACGUGCCAGCAGCCGCGGUAAUACGUAGGUCCCGAGCGUUGUCCGGAUUUAUUGGGCGUAAAGCGAGCGCAGGUGGUUUAUUAAGUCUGGUGUAAAAGGCAGUGGCUCAACCAUUGUAUGCAUUGGAAACUGGUAGACUUGAGUGCAGGAGAGGAGAGUGGAAUUCCAUGUGUAGCGGUGAAAUGCGUAGAUAUAUGGAGGAACACCGGUGGCGAAAAGCGGCUCUCUGGCCUGUAACUGACACUGAGGCUCGAAAGCGUGGGGAGCAAA
Molecule: ribosomal RNA, 426 nt
Filed under: uncultured bacterium
Lineage: Bacteria
Description: partial 16S ribosomal RNA
Rfam family: Bacterial small subunit ribosomal RNA
Source: RNAcentral